RNAcentral lists this ribosomal RNA (440 nucleotides) under uncultured bacterium. RNAcentral's name for it is "partial 16S ribosomal RNA". It matches the Rfam family "Bacterial small subunit ribosomal RNA", at positions 338 to 795 of the family's 1533-position model. The record is from RNAcentral.
CCUACGGGAGGCAGCAGUAGGGAAUAUUGCUCAAUGGGGGAAACCCUGAAGCAGCAACGCCGCGUGGAGGAUGAAGGUUUUCGGAUUGUUAACCCCUUUUGUUAGAGAAGAUAAUGACGGUAUCUAACGAAUAAGCACCGGCGCACUCCGUGCCAGCAGCCGUGGUAAUAAGGAGGGUGCAAGCGUUACUCGGAAUCACUGGGCGUAAAGAGCGCGUAGGCGGGAUAGCAAGUCAGAUGUGAAAUCCUCGGGCUUAACCAGAGAACUGCAUUUGAAACUGUUAUUCUAGAGUAUGGGAGAGGUAGGUGGAAUUCGUGGUGUAGGGGUAAAAUCCGUAGAGAUCAAGAAGAAUACUGAUUGCGAAGGCGGCCUGCUAGAACAUCACUGACGCUGAUGCGCGAAAGCGUGGGGAGCGAACAGGAUUAGAUACCCGAGUAGUC